UGGGGAAUUUUGCACAAUGGAGGAAACUCUGAUGCAGCGACGCCGCGUGAGUGAUGAAGAUCCUCGGAUUGUAAAACUCUGUCCUUAGUGAAGAUAAUGACAGUAACUAAGAAGCAAGCCCUGGCUAAAUACGUGCCAGCAGCCGCGGUAAUACGUAUGGGGCAAGCGUUGUCCGGAAUUAUUGGGCGUAAAGGGUACGUAGGCGGUUUAAUAAGUCCUAAUUAAAAGGCUAUGGCUCAACCAUAGUAUGGUUAGGAAACUGUUGAACUUGAGUAGAUGAGGGGAAAGUGGAAUUCCAUGUGUAGCGGUGAAAUGCGUAGAUAUAUGGAGGAACACCAAUGGCGAAGGCAACUUUCUGGAAUCAAACUGACGCUGAGGUACGAAGGCGUGGGGAGCAAACAGG
Molecule: ribosomal RNA, 403 nt
Filed under: Fusobacteriota bacterium
Lineage: Bacteria; Fusobacteriati; Fusobacteriota
Description: Fusobacteria bacterium partial 16S ribosomal RNA
Rfam family: Bacterial small subunit ribosomal RNA
Source: RNAcentral